GUCAGUUGGUAGAGCACGACCUUGCCAAGGUCGGGGUCGCGAGUUCGAGUCUCGUUUCCCGCUCCA
Molecule: transfer RNA, 66 nt
Filed under: Escherichia coli 99.0816
Lineage: Bacteria; Pseudomonadati; Pseudomonadota; Gammaproteobacteria; Enterobacterales; Enterobacteriaceae
Description: partial tRNA-Gly
Rfam family: tRNA
About the family: Transfer RNA (tRNA) molecules are approximately 80 nucleotides in length. Their secondary structure includes four short double-helical elements and three loops (D, anti-codon, and T loops).
Source: RNAcentral